GGGCAUUUGUAUGGCCCCGUGAGAGGUGAAAUUCUUGGACCGUGGCCAGACAAACUUCAGCGAAAGCAUUUGCCAAGAAUGUCUUCAUUAAUCAAGAACGAAAGUCAGAGGUUCGAAGGCGAUCAGAUACCGCCCUAGUUCUGACCGUAAACGAUGCCAACUAGCGAUCCGCCGAUGGAAAUUAUAUUGCCUUGGUGGGGAGCUUCCCGGAAACGAAAGUCUUCCGGUUCCGGGGGAAGUAUGGUUGCAAAGCUGAAACUUAAAGGAAUUGACGGAAGGGCACCACCAGGAGUGGAGCCUGCGGCUUAAUUUGACUCAACACGGGGAAACUCACCCGGCCCGGACACUGUGAGGAUUGACAGAUUGAUAGCUUUUUCAUGAUUCAGUGGAUGGUGGUGCAUGGCCGUUCUUAGUUCGUGGAGUGAUUUGUCUGGUUUAUUCCGAUAACGAGCGAGACUCUAACCUACUAAAUAGCUGGUACAUAAUUUUAGUGUAUACAGCUUCUUAGAGGGAUUUGCGGUGUUCAGCCGAAAGAAAUUGAGCAAUAACAGGUCUGUGAUGCCCUUAGAUGUCCGGGGCUGCACGCGCGCUACACUGGCAAAAUCAACGUGCUUGUCCUACCCCGAAAGGGGCGGGUAAACCAUUGAAAAUUUGCCGUGAUUGGGAUCGGAAAUUGCAAUUAUUUUCCGUGAACGAGGAAUUCCAAGUAAGUGCGAGUCAUCAGCUCGCGUUGAUUACGUCCCUGCCCUUUGUACACACCGCCCGUCGCUGCCCGGGACUGAGCCAUUUCGAGAAAUUUGGGGACCGUUGAUUUAAUUUUUCUAAAUUACUUUGAUGGAAACCAAUUUAAUCGCAGUGGCUUGAACCGGGCAAAAGUCGUAACAAGGUAGCUGUAGGUGAACCUGCUGCUG
RNAcentral lists this ribosomal RNA (911 nucleotides) under Meloidogyne javanica (root-knot nematode). RNAcentral's name for it is "SSU rRNA". It matches the Rfam family "Eukaryotic small subunit ribosomal RNA", at positions 886 to 1823 of the family's 1831-position model. Lineage: Eukaryota; Metazoa; Nematoda; Chromadorea; Rhabditida; Meloidogynidae. The record is from RNAcentral.